UCCCAACAUGUAACCUUGACUGGACUGGAACUCACUCUGUAGACCAGGCUGGCUUCAAACUCAAAGAUCCACCUGCCCCUGCUGGGUGCUGGGACUAAAGGCCUGCACCACACGCCUGACUGGUGAAUUGUCUUCUAAUUCUAAAUCUGGUACUAAGUGCUCUAAGAAAGCUCAAGAGGCUCACUGGUGUUGUGGUGGCCCAGGGCGUCAGUAGUGCCGUGACCUCCAGCAAGCGUAUGGCCUGGCAGUGGAGACUGACUAACCCUAAGUUUCCCCUCGUUGAUGUGCUCAUAGAUCGCGUCUGCGCCCUGAUCCAAGGCACGCUCGAAGAACAGGGCGCCCACUGCGAUGGUGAGGGCGAAGGUGGAAGUUCUGCGGAACAGCAAGGAGUACAGACGCGAAGGGAUCGUCGGCAACGACAUGUUGCCUCACUGCCGAACUCGCGCCACUGCCAGAUGUAUUUCUUUAUGUUCCGGUGCCACAUGCAUGCCUGGUACCUGAGGAUGACAGAAGAGGACAUCAGGUCCCCUGGAACUUGAGUUGCAAUUCUGGAAAAGGGUCCCACCCCUGCCAAAGAGCGGCAGAAAACGAGAAACGGCGCUUCCUGAUAUUCUCCCUGGCCCUUGUAUCCUGUCUUCAAGCCUAAGGCCAAACAGCUCUGGGUCUCCCCAGACUGUCGCCACCCCCGUCUCACCCUCAUACCUAGCACAUCCCCAAAGGGUCUCUGAGCGCCUCCAUCAGGAAGAAGUCAGCGAGCUUGGCAACAGAUGACUUAGAUGACUCUGGGUCUUACAGACGUCGGGAACCCCACAUGGCCUCUGCCUCCUGCCCCACUCAGCACCGCUGCUCCCUGAAGAUGUACCGCUUGCCUUUGGCACACAAGCUGCCCAGGCUGCUCAUAUUCACAGUAGGCAGACUGCUUGGCGCUGCAGAGCACUGUAGUUUUCAAGGCCCAGUCUCAGUCCUGACUCCAUCUGUCCCUCCUCAGCAGGCCAGGGAGGGGAAGAAGGCUGCUCAAGGUCCCGCACGAUGAGAGCUCAUCCCUUGGUGCUUCCAGUCUCUAAACCACACCCCUUUCUUCGGUGCCCCUUCACCAGACUCCUGUCAGACUCCCCGUUUUUGCUCAAUCACUGGCUGCCCCCACACCAUCCCUGCUGCCCCUCAUGUGGGGAAGUAGGUGGGUGGGCAAUAAGAAUACAGCCACAAAGCCACAGGAUGAAAAGAAACCAAAAUCCUUUUUUUUUUUUUUUUUUAAUAAAUUUAAGAACAAUCCCAAAAAAAAAAAAAAAAAAAA
This 1294-nucleotide long non-coding RNA is filed under the name Mus musculus (house mouse). RNAcentral describes it as "RIKEN cDNA 4930481A15 gene, transcript variant 2 (4930481A15Rik)". Lineage: Eukaryota; Metazoa; Chordata; Mammalia; Rodentia; Muridae. The record is from RNAcentral.